RNAcentral lists this ribosomal RNA (468 nucleotides) under uncultured bacterium. RNAcentral's name for it is "partial 16S ribosomal RNA". It matches the Rfam family "Bacterial small subunit ribosomal RNA", at positions 28 to 507 of the family's 1533-position model. The record is from RNAcentral.
GACGAACGCUGGCGGCGUGCUUAACACAUGCAAGUCGAACGGAAAGGCCCUGCUUUUGUGGGGUGCUCGAGUGGCGAACGGGUGAGUAACACGUGAGUAACCUGCCCUUGACUUUGGGAUAACUUCGGGAAACGGGGGCAAAUACGGGAAAGGGGCUCCUGCGGCAGGGGGGGGGUGGGAAAGUUUCGGCGGUUGGGGAUGGACUCGCGGCUUAUCAGCUUGUUGGUGGGGUAGUGGCUUACCAAGGCUUUGACGGGUAGCCGGCCUGAGAGGGUGACCGGCCACAUUGGGACUGAGAUACGGCCCAGACUCCUACGGGAGGCAGCAGUGGGGAAUAUUGCACAAUGGGCGGAAGCCUGAUGCAGCAACGCCGCGUGCGGGAUGACGGCCUUCGGGUUGUAAACCGCUUUCGCCUGUGACGAAGCGUGAGUGACGGUAAUGGGUAAAGAAGCACCGGCUAACUACGUG